GCUGAUGGAGUAGGAAGUGUUACAAACAGCUGAUCGGAUCGGCAAAGCGUGUUUCUGGAAUAUUUUGUUUUUGUUGCUGCAAGCGCUUUUUAUGCAGUUUUUGCAAAGCUAUAUGUGGAAGGAAACCGUGACCUAGGACAAGCUGAUGGCAUAAAAUAUUUGUGGAGGGGAAUUGGAAGCAGGAAAUCGCUGCACGUCAGCAGCAGAUGGUCUACAACAGCAGAAGACUACAUCAGGUCCCACUCCUGUCAACUAAGACAGCACAGGCUCACCAAAAUUGGAAAUUAGAAGACUGGAAAAACAAUAUGAGCAACAUUCAGAAGGGAAGCACGUUUUCUUUCUGGCUGCUUCUCUGUGGUCUUACCAGGAACUAACUCAUCCUUAUUCUAGAAAGUGAACCACAACAUGUGGCAACAGAGCCC
Molecule: long non-coding RNA, 422 nt
Organism: Oreochromis aureus
Lineage: Eukaryota; Metazoa; Chordata; Actinopteri; Cichliformes; Cichlidae
Source: Ensembl